RNAcentral lists this long non-coding RNA (14011 nucleotides) under Triticum aestivum (bread wheat). Lineage: Eukaryota; Viridiplantae; Streptophyta; Magnoliopsida; Poales; Poaceae. The record is from RNAcentral.
GUAAAUAUAUAUUCCGAAUAAUAAUCACAAAAUUAGUGGUAGCAAGCUGUACCAUAUCUUGACUUUCUGCCGUGCACAUGGCAAAACAAAUCUUUUUCUCCAAAAAGUAGUGUGUCGACCUAAAUCUUUAACAAGGAAUAUGCAUUUAUGUACACAUUUUUCAUUUAUGAUUAUUCCAACAGAAAGCUCAUUCUCAUGGUUGAGCCACUUUUUCAGGUCAAAAUACCUGAGCCACUCACAACUCACAAGUGCAUGUGGACAUCAACUAGCUUUGUGUUCCCCAAUGCGAUAGGCACCAGAUCACUGCACGAACCUAGCAUGUUUUGCCCAACGUAAAUUAGAGAGGUCAGAGCCCUGUGCAAAUUGCAGAGCCGGGAUUUCGUAGUUUAGCAAUACGUAACGCCUAUGGGAAAUGAACAAACUAACUAACCCAUUAGCUCAGAUGCCUCAGAAGCACACCAGCAUUCAAUUUUCACCAGCUGACUUAUUGAUUCGAUCUGGUGUUGUCAUGGCGGCUCCCUGCCGCCUAACUUUCUGCAUCAACUUGUAGUAGUAAGUACUUGGAUUGCCUACAAAGAAGUGAGUUAGUUUUAGUAGUUAAAAAGCCAACUCAAUACCACUAGCCUCACUGUCUAUUGAGUAACCAUCAUAUGAUAUUGUCUGGCUCAACCUGAUAGUUACCAGAAUACUAAUCGUUGGCUCUGCCGAAUACAAGCUGCCGCACAUAAGAAAUCUAAUCGGCGUUAAUAAACAAUAUAGGACAGGUGCCUAAGCUUCGGGAGCCAAUGAAUGACUGCUUGAAUUUGUUGUUAUCAUGGUACUACUACCUCUGCAAUUGUGCGGGAGACAUCAGCUCUCAAAGAUCUACAUCAUGUCAUUAGGACCACCUAUCCUACGACUAGAUUGCCCACCAAUCAAAUUAGGGGUGGAGGAGAGCCUAGGGCAGAGAGACCACGCAAUCCAAUUGGGAUACGCAGGCAUCAAAUCAUGGGAGGAGGGACCGAGCCCCAUCAAGGUCGACGCUGCCAAAAUAACCAAUUGCCAUAUACUCCAAACGAACCACCAGUGUCCAGUGGGUUCUCAAGCCAGAUAUGGUAAAGAAUAAUGGUACAAGAGCAACGGCCACCGAGGCACCGACGACAACAGUAUCGCCACCAUGCCCCCAUUGAUUUUGUAGGUCCCCGCCACAACACAAAUAAUUCUGCUUUCCGGUAGAUGUAGCUUGCAGGAUCCAUUGCUUGGGGACACAAUGUCCCUGGUGUGGCUGAAAUGUUGGCCACAGCAAACACUGACCGUGGAAUUGCUAUGAUGUCUUAAUGUCUUAAGAUCGGCUAUAAUCUUAGGAACUCCUAACCUUUGAUUGCUUGCUAGGUUUUGAUUUGNNNNNNNNNNNNNNNNNNNNNNNNNNNNNNNNNNNNNNNNNNNNNNNNNNNNNNNNNNNNNNNNNNNNNNNNNNNNNNNNNNNNNNNNNNNNNNNNNNNNNNNNNNNNNNNNNNNNNNNNNNNNNNNNNNNNNNNNNNNNNNNNNNNNNNNNNNNNNNNNNNNNNNNNNNNNNNNNNNNNNNNNNNNNNNNNNNNNNNNNNNNNNNNNNNNNNNNNNNNNNNNNNNNNNNNNNNNNNNNNNNNNNNNNNNNNNNNNNNNNNNNNNNNNNNNNNNNNNNNNNNNNNNNNNNNNNNNNNNNNNNNNNNNNNNNNNNNNNNNNNNNNNNNNNNNNNNNNNNNNNNNNNNNNNNNNNNNNNNNNNNNNNNNNNNNNNNNNNNNNNNNNNNNNNNNNNNNNNNNNNNNNNNNNNNNNNNNNNNNNAGGUACAUAUGUGAGAUUUGCUACAAGAUUUGCAAAGUAUCACAAGAAGACAACAUGUCGGCAUCACGCAGGAUUCCAUAAAUUACCGCAAAAAUUCCCAGAGAUUUUUGUGAGAAUUGAAGGUUUUUAACAUAAAGUAAGUGCAAACAUUUCUAAUUAGAAAAAUGAUGUAACUAAUAUAAGCAUGCAACUGUUUCAUACAAACUAUUUUUUUAGUGUAAUUACCAGAUUCUUAUGCAGGAUGGACAAAAUGCUCCAAUCUAUUUUCAGUCCUAAGAGGCACAUGCAUGUCUGCAAAAUUAGUUUUAACCUACCUUUCUAUAAGGACAGCUAGGCUGGUCCUUCCAAGAAUCAAACUGAAGAUUAGUGCAUACAUUUUUUUUCAGAAUUUGGUUGUUAGUUGAAAUUCUCAAUAUAGUAACCAAAAUCAUGGUGAAAAUGGUCCUGCUAGCAUAUAUUGAGGAUGCUUUUUAAUAGAAUGAAGGGAGGAUGUUUACUAUUCAUGGGCUUGUAAUUGUCCAAUACUACAGAAGUAGAACUUGACAAGCUUUUGUAAUUCUAAAAUAUUUGGGAAUGGACUACAAAGAACUCUAUAAAAUUUGCUUAGGUCAAGAGUUGCGCACCACGUCCACCGCAUGUCCACAGGCUCCACAUGCAGCAGAGAUCAAAUGCUAAUCCUCUCAACCAACCAAUCCAAAAGAUGCCGAACCCUCAUGGCCAUGGGCCACUAUACUUAUUUAAAAAUGGACAUCGGACCCAGGACAACCAAUUGGUGACUCAUCAUGUCUCAUCCCAAAACGGAAAACUUUGUGGUGAAAUAUUUUGCAGUAUAUUAACUCAUCGGCCAUAACAAUUCCAUAUCCAACUUGCUCGUGCCUAUAAAUGAAGACCAUCCCACCCUAUGGCAAUGCACACCAGCAGACCAUUCCACAUGAUAGCAAAGCAGUCAGGGUAGGGGAAGAGGAAGAAGGGACGAGAGCCGAGAAGUACCUGUAGAGCGUAUACUGGCGAGGAUUCUGCUGGGUUGCCAUACGCUAAGAGGCAGAGAACGGGAUGCAGCCAAGGAUGACUUGCCGGCUCCUGGUGUUGGGAGUUCACUGAGCUUUAGAGUUAGCCGGCAAGUUGUCCUUGGCUACACCUAGUUCUCUUCUUCUGGUGUUUGGCCCUCGAGCAUUGCUGAGAAAACUCUAAUGCCUGCAUUUCUAUCAACUUCCAUCAUGGAAAUACAUGAAUAAGUAAGUACGCAAAGCAUAAAAGGUAUGCAUCUCUAGCUAGCCAGCUCUUAGCAUCUCAAGCUAGUUCAACCUCUACUCAGACAUAAAACAAUUCCAGCUCUAUAUAUGUAUAUAUGGAAAGUAAAAAGAAUAGCUUAUUACUGUUCUAUCUGCAAUGGAAAUGCAUGAACAGAAAACAUAAGUACAAAAGGCAUGGAUACGAGCUCAACCUCCACUUAACAUCAGAUCUGUACAAUUCCAUAUGUAUAUAUCAGACGAUAUCAUCAUUCCUUUGCCAUUAUUUUAUGCUAAUACAUGAUUUUUUUAAGAUAAGAGAUUGGCUUUCUUGUGGUACCCCCUGACGAAAAUGAAAGUCCGAAGGAUGUACAGAACGCACUGCGUGACAAAAGAUUCCUCGAGGCUCUCACAUGGCGGCAGAAAUUGUACUUGCAAUAUUGUACCACAGAGAUUAUGUAUACACAAAAGAAAAUCUUAAUCAUGUAGGACAGGAAGCAGGAGGUGCAUCAGCAAUGUAACCAUGUUACAAAAGCACCGCAUUCCCUUUUCAAUACAAAAAAGAAUGGACAACUUCAUUCCUCAAGUAAUCAGUGUUGUUGUCCUGUUCAUGUCCUUUGAAUAGAGCACUUUACUUUAUUGGCUAAAAGCCCAAAGGUGACGAUGUUAACAAGAGCUUUACCUCAUUAUUAGCACAAAAACUAAACAUUUUCCCGAUGCAAGGUAUCAUGGGUGAAUGCUCAGGAUCGAUAAACCAUAAUAAUGAGUUAAUGACUGAUGCAGCUUUCUGAAGGGAACAACGCGGAGUAACUAGUAAGGCUCUAUAUCUAACUUUUAUUUAAAAAAAUCAUAAUAAAAAUGAUGAAACUUGUCAGCAUCAACUGUUUUAAUUGUGACAUCAGAAUUACGUUUUCUAUUCGAAGCAAAACACGUUCCACAUUGAGCAUCCUUCAUUACCUCAAAGUUGAAUGGUUGAUAGAUGACGGAACAUGGUUUUAUUGGACUCCAAUAUAUGGGCUUCAUGCUAACACUGAUAUUGUAAUCUAGAAAGUCUAGAACACAUGGUCACGACAAAUCCACAACCCUCCAUGACAAGUAUCGCAUGAGUCUGAGAGUACUUGAAUAUAUAUACGGAAACUCACUUGAAUAUACAGAGAGAACAGAUGGUACAUUAUUUAGAUGUGAUUUUCUCUUUUACAUAAGAAGUCACAAAGGAAGUCGGUAGCUGUAAUAUUCAAACAAAUCAGCGAUACCAGCCAAUGUACUUUUUGAUGCACCAGGUAAUAAUAAUUGUACUGGUCAUUAUUUACAGAUUUAAGUUGAAUGAUGUGUGCUAAUAAAUCAUGUGGUAAUGCAGCAUAAUAAGAUGCCCAGAUGCAUGUGUCAUCAUGAACCAACAACAAAAGAGAUCACUCUGUUAAUGUCAGAAAACAAAAUCAGGAUUUGUUGGCAAGACAUGUCACAAAUGAAGCUUCGGUUACUUCAUGAAACCAACAUUAGUAUUAUACAAGGGCUACCAAAUGCAGAUCAAUAACAAAAAUAUCAGUUUUCUCGAAAGAUAACAAGCAUUAAUGCUUGACAAGUACUCCCUCUGUUCCAAGUUAUUUGAAGUUCUAGCUUUGCUAUGUCAAAACAUCUUUAAGUUUAACCAAGUCUGCAAAAAGAUAUCUCAAAUUUACAAUACCAAAUUAGUUUCAUAAGAUUUGUCAUAAAUCAUAUUUUCAUACAAUAUACGUUUUUAUGUUGUAGAUAUUAGCAUAUUUUUUGUAUACUUGGUCAAAGUUUAAAAAGUUUGACUUAGGACAAAGCUAAAACUUCAAGUAACUUGGAACAGAGGGAGUAUGACUCGACACUGACCACAUCAUUGCAGCGUAUAUGAUUUUAAGAGAACUCCAGUAUUAGUACCCACAAAGAAAUUUCGCACUAAGAAUGCAAGGAAUAACUAGUCUUUACUCUGAACAUCAAAUGGAAUAUAAAGAGAGUAAAUAUAGUAAGUACAAAUUUCAGAUUAUAUUGAACUAACAAAGACACUAUUCAAUUUCAAACCUGUUUGAUAGACACGAUUUCUAAAUCUACUCCUGCCAUAUAAAUGGAUAGAAUAGGAGCAAGAAAGACAUAUUUCUUAAGUAUACGACUGAACAAGGGGAUAUUGCAUGCUCUAGGCACAUGAGAUGUGCUAGUGCACUAAGACACACUUAACCAUCUCCAAUUGUCAUGAGAAGUUCUGCUAUUUUUUACAACACUUGUCUACCGCGGCAAGAAAAUUCAAGACCAAAUCAAGUCUAGAUGUCAAGAACAAAAAGAUAAUCCUUGUCGGAAAUAGUAGUAGUGGCUUCCAGGUACUACUCAUAGUGCGGUUGUCUUUUCUUAUUUCUUGGUGUAUUGAUCGAGUUUGGAUUCUAAAUUUUCUGGUAAGGCAUAUGCAUCAUGUGCAAAUGUUGUCCAUACUUUUUGGGUUCUUUCAUGACCACUAGAGGUGCUUAUUAAGCCUCUAGUACAAACUGUGUACGUUUUUGUUUAAAGCAGGCCAAAUCCAUUAACACACGCGAUAUCCCCCACGCCCCCCNNNNNNNNNNNNNNNNNNNNNNNNNNNNNNNNNNNNNNNNNNNNNNNNNNNNNNNNNNNNNNNNNNNNNNNNNNNNNNNNNNNNNNNNNNNNNNNNNNNNNNNNNNNNNNNNNNNNNNNNNNNNNNNNNNNNNNNNNNNNNNNNNNNNNNNNNNNNNNNNNNNNNNNNNNNNNNNNNNNNNNNNNNNNNNNNNNNNNNNNNNNNNNNNNNNNNNNNNNNNNNNNNNNNNNNNNNNNNNNNNNNNNNNNNNNNNNNNNNNNNNNNNNNCAGGACAAAGAUAAGAAAUGCAUUCUCAGAGCAUAUGAUUGGUUUGAUGCCAAUAUUUAUUUGGCUAGUGAUUGGUUGGCUAUGAACUUGCCAAAUAUUGGCAAGUGAUUGGUUGAUUCCCAAUUUUUUUUGCCAACCUCACAAAAAGGUGCCAAUUUUUGGCCAGUCUUGAUAUUGUCAAAAUUUGGGUAGCAAACUAACAGUACCCAUUCAUUGGGUGCAUAAUAGUAUUUGUCACAGCAUGCCCAAGCCAGAAGCACGUCUUGUCCUGCACAAAUACCAUAACCACAUGAAAUCCCUUGGUAAACUUGAGACAUGGAUCAAAUAUCAUACGAUGAUGCAUCAUACAACACGAGAAGCCAUUUGGACAGGCUGAAAAACAGAAACUACCCUACAGUAUAGCAGCACUAAGUUUUUCCUCCAUGAUACUAUACACUUUAAUCAAAAGCCCUGGAAUCCUCUGUAGACUGAGUCCUAUCCAUCAGUCUAACCUAGAUACUUCACAUAACCUACCUAACAGAACAAUUCAAUAGAUGCCAGCUCCCAGCCUUUUAGCCAGCAAAUAUAUUCUUAAAAGUUGGAAAUCCAUAAAGCCUCAAUGUGUGGACAGGUAAUCAUUUUCACUCAAGGAAAAAGUUAUGCCAAUAACUUUUUAAAAGAUUAAGUCAAAACGAGAUUUCACUAUCGUGCCAGAUCUAGUUGUAGUGCUGCCCCUAUAAAUACCCUCCCCUCGAUGUAUACCAGAAGCACACCCAUAGCUGAAUAGCUGAGAGAGAUGAGAAAUCGGAGUGAAGAGUUCGCUGCCGCAAGAGCCAUGCAGAAAGAGGCAGAGAGUGGAAUGCAGCCAAGGAUGACUUGCCGACAGCACACAACAAGGUGGUAGUAAUCUUGCCGGCAAGUCCGUCCUUGGCUACACCUUGCUCUCUACCUCUGCUGUGUGGCUUUUGCAUGGCCUGGAGAAACUUGAAUGUGCCUGGUGUCUUUCUUCUUCCAUAGAGGUAAAACUACUUGCCUCACAGAACUAUCAACUGUCAGUUUUUUUUGGUGGGGGAAGAGGGGGGAGGGGGGUUAUGGGGGCGCGAAACCCACCUGAACAUUUUCAAUUUAGCCAGGAGAGAUAGCAGUGACCAUUUUUUGCAGAGUCACAGAGGAGAGAUUCAAAGAGAAGCACUACGAGCUGAUCUCAGCCAAAUUUAGAAGUCCUAGUCCAAAACACCUGCCAUCAUAACAGCGACGUGGAGAAACUCUGGAUCCAUGCCAAAAUUGACUUACACAUAGAGCAGGAGCAUCACCAGCACCACAGGAGAACAUAGGCGGCAAUUUUCCAGGCAACGGUGACGGGUGCCAGGUGCUCGCUGAGAAUGACUUUGGCGCUCAGCUGCUACUGUCAGACUUGAAACAAAUUUAUGCAUGUGUUCAAGGAAUAUCGCUAAACUAUAAACUCCAUGUGGUGCCAGUAAAAAUGAACUGAAUGCUGUUGACUUGCAAUAUGUAUACAGACUCGUCAAGUAUUUUCAGCAUUGAUCAUCGCCAGUUUAGAAAGAUAAAAUAAACAGCGAACCUUUUGAAUCAGAAAGUACGUAAAUAAGCUAAAGUAUGCCAGCAGCAGCUCCACUCCAGCAUGAUCAGUUAGAUAGUACGUAGAUAGAUAUUUCUGCGGGUACCUUGGUGAUUGCAGAUCUGUCAGAGAUUAUAUGCACAGUUAAAAAAUCUGAUUGCAGCUAAAAUGGGAGUGCAUAUCAUCUGGAUACAGGCACGAUAUCACAAAACUAUCCAUCCCUGAGAGCACACAUAUAAAUACAUAAUAUUAGAUGAGAAUAAAUUGGCCUUCGUUAACGAAGCCAGAGAAUACAUCCCGCUUAAUUAAUCAAAAAAUAAAACAGAUGAGAAUGAAACUAUAAACCACAUAGUAUGAAAGAGCUUGAUUGUUAAUACUCGAAAGAACAUGUAUGUUUUUACUUUUUUUUCAUCUAUGAAGAACUUAUAUAGCAUUAUCAGUUGAAAAACUUAUUUUGGAAAAAAAACAUUCUAAACAAGGUGUGAUAUGAUUUGUCAACUCGUAGUAUACACAGGAUAUCAGUGUAAGAUCUCAGAGUCUGUCCAAGAAGAAUGAUGUAUAAGCAAGUUUCAUGUAUAUUUAAUAAAUAAAUGGACGAUGAAAAAUAAUCACAUUCCAUCAUUUUACCACAGGAAAAUAAAGACAUUUCACACAUUGUCAGUAACUACUACUCCCUCCGUUCCAAAAUAAGUGUCAUGGUUUUAGUUCUUAUUUUGGAACAGAGGGAGUACAUAACAAAUAUAAAAGUUCAGCUCAAUUUAUAGUGCUUUUUGGUUAAUAUGAUAUACUCCCUCCGUCCCAUAAUAUAAGAGCCCCAUAAUAUAAGAGCGCUAGUGUCAAAAACACUCUUAUAUUAUAGGACGGAGAGAGUAAUAGAUAAUACUUGACCAAAUGCACAUGUAUCUCUUUUUCACAGAAUCAGAAAAGGACGGCUCAGGAGACACAGUUCUUUUAUUGAUGCUCAUUCAUAAAAUAAAUGGUACAGCUAUAAAGGAGAAUCAAGUGAUUUUUUGGUGGUCAUAUCUAGGGCAGAUCACCAGUACCUCUUUGCAUUCCCUGUAUAAUGUGUGCUCAGAUAAUACUUCCAUUUUUCAGCCCAUGACAUGGAAUUGCGGACCAAUGACAUGAAUCUGUAUAAUAACAUAAACUGGAUUUUUCGUUCCUCUCACAAAUGUAUACCUAUAUUUACUCUGAUACAGUGCCCAUAUGAAAUGUUUACUAACAUCAAAUACUGGGGACAUGUAGCCAUUGAUAUAUUAAAUGAUCAUGUGGAAGCACUCAUUCAAAGUGUAUAUAUAAUAAAAUAUAAAACAAUGUAUCAUAAUUGGCACCUCAGAAUAUUAUGGAAAAUUGCAACAUACUGUAAUAAAACCUGCAAAGAAGUCCACUUCAUUGGGACACUUCCAUAGAAGCCGAGACAGCAAGGCAGUACUAUUCCGAAUUACAUCUGAUGAUGUCUGAUGUAAUGUAGGAUGAAAACCAAUGCUUGUAAUGUUCUGCUGAAAAAAUGUGUGAUAGGAUAACUAAUUAAAGGGAUAUAGGAUUAUAUAGCGUGAAUUACUCAAAUAGCAGAAAGCCAAUUUAUCAAUAGCACUGAAUGAACUUCAAUAGCAGUAACGAAUGUUGACUAACUUCAGAGGUUGUUUAAAAACAAACUUGGCAGCUUGCAUUGGAGAAACGUAAGAGUACCAUGAUUUGUCUUGAAACAUCACUAGCGAAUGAAGAGCAGCUUGUUUUAUCGAUAGUUAGAUCGUCACACUGUUAAAUGUAAGUUGUUGUCACUUAUUUUGCAAACAUGACAUGUUAUUCUAGUAGAUAAGUAAUUUUGGUUUGCAUUCUGAGAGCCACAGAAUUGCCUCUCCUUCACAUAGAUUAAACAAAUUGUUGAUAGGGUACAUGGAAACAUCCAAUGGCAGUACUCCAGAAUGGGAUCUAGACAUGGCCUGAUCUAUGUCUACGUAAUAUUGAUAUGCAUGUGGCGGUGAACAAUGGGCAAAAGUGUUUCUAGUACCACAGUGUAGAUACUUUAUGACAAUGAAUGUCAGAUUCUAUAAAGUUUCACUGCAGUUAUAUAUCUGGUCAGCUAUACGCAAUAGUCAUGGGAAGUUUUGUCUUUUUUAGAGAAAUGGUGACCAUGUGGGAGUUACAAAUUGUAUAUUGUGACACAAAUGUGUAACUCGUCAAACCUCAAAUUAAAGCCACAUCAAAUCAGCUAAUUAUUGGUACAAGACUACAAGUAAUUCAUAAUGCACGUUGGCAUCCAACUUGGCUACCGAACUGAACAUGAUCCGUCUACUGCUAGUACUUGUUUGACUAUAACUUAAUACAAAACUUAGCUCUUCCUGCAACAAUCAAACAUAAAACCCAAUGGAAGGCACAGCUCACGAACAAAUUGUUUAGAUAAGUUAACAGACCGCACACGUCAAUGAAUCAACCAAAAACUUCCUCAAACUAUACAAGUAAGAUCGAUGGUUGUUGCUCAAAGGACCAUUGGAGCCCAAUUUGGAUGGUGUUUGACCAAUAGAGAAACCUGUACGAGAUGUCUGCCACGAUCGAGUCUCUACAUAUCCAAUCGAGUAAUUUAGAAGAGCAUCAUGAAAUUUGAGUAAUUUAGAACAGUGCACCAUGGACUUCCCAUAAUAUUAAGCCUCGGAUAUCUUCCAAAAUAAAUAAAAUGAAGCGAACUCAGAAUUAAAUUUAGGUAAACUUUCGGGCCUCAGAGAUCGAACAUUUACCUUUAUUCUCCAACACAAUCUACUAUUUCGACACGCAACAGGUGCUCUCCAUGAAAUUUUCCCAUCAUCACACACUAAUGUACAUUUUAGCUUCACACAACACAGAAGCUUCCUUUGAGCUUGCAGAUGCGAUUUAACAUUUCAAGGCUGGCACAAAUCAAUGAUCACGGAAAAUUAUCCAGGUUGCAGUGCCGAGACAAGCAGGGGGGGAGGGGGGAGCCGAAAAGGGAAAUCGAUAGCAUCCCAAUAGUAGAUGUUCAUGCUGAAGUCAGGAGCACGUCCCUCCAAGUACUAGAUCACAUGAAAUUCCUUGGUAAACUAGAAGCAUGGAUCAAAUAUCAUGUGCUAUUUAGACUGUCUGAAAACAGAAACUUCCUAACAGUAUAGCACCACUAGUUUUUUUUUCCUCCAUGGUACUAUAAUAAAAAUCCCUGGAAUUUUCUGUAGACUGAGCCCCAUCCAGCAGUGUAACCUAUAUGCUUCACAUAACCUACCUAACAAAAGAAUUCCAUAGAUGCCAGCUCCUAGGCUUUUGGCCCGCAAAUAUAUUAUUAGAAGUUGGAAACCUAUAAAGCCCCAACACAUGGAUAGGUCAUCAUUUUCACUAGAAGGGGAAAAGUUAUGGCACUAACCUUUAAAAGAAGUAAGUCAAAAGGAGAUUCCAGUGCCAUUCCAGAUCAAGUUGCAGUGCUGCCCCUAUAAAUACCCUUCCAUUGAUGUAUACCAGAAGCACCUCCAUAGCUGAAUAGCUGAGAGAGAAGAGAAGUUGGAGCGAAGAGUUCACUGCCGCAAGAGCCAUGCACAAAGAGGCGGAGAGUGGAAUGCAGCCAAGGAUGACUUGCCAACAGCACAGAACAAGACGGUAAUCUUUGACAUGAUUGCCAUUUGCCCGGCAAGUCCAUCCUUGGCUACACCUUACUCUCUACCUCUCCUGUAUUGCUUUUGCAUGGCCUGGAGAAAUUUGAAUUUGCUCGGUGCCUCUUCUUCCAUAGGGGUAACACUAGUGAGCCAGAAGCGACCAGGUGCGUAUCGUUAGAGGUGCAGAGCGGCGUCCCGCAUAGACCCGCAAAAGUGCUUAAUUAGUACAACUUUGCCAACAGCAGCACAGCCUAAUUAGAACUAGCUUCUUCUAAUUUGUAUACGGAGCAGGACGGGUUCGGGCGCCGCCUUGCAUCCCUACGUAUCAUUCAGAUACAGGAAUGAUUCUUUGCAUGGCACUACACAAUCCAUCACAGACAUACAAUAUCCGAUGAGAAUAAACUUCAUUAAUGAAGCCCAGGAGAACAUCAUUUUAAUAAAUAAAAAUAUAUGAGAAUGAAACUAUAAAAUCACAUAGUAUGAAAGAGAUUCUAGAAAAACAUAGUAUGAAAGAGCUUGAUUGUUGUUACUCGAAAGAACAUGUAGGGUUUUUUCAUCUAUGAAGAAUUAGCAUAGCCUUAUUCAGAUCAAAAACUGAUUUUUGGAAGAAGAAAAAAGUCAUAUUCUGAACAAUGCGUGAUGCAUUUCUAUGCCAACUCAGUACUAGACAGGAUAUCAGUGUAGGAUCCAAAAUGCUGCCAAAGAAGAAUGAUAUAGUUUCAUAUAUUUUUAAUACACAGAUAGACAGCGAGAUAUGGCACAUUUCAUCAUCUCACCACAAGAGAUGAGAACAUUUCACACAUUGCCAGCUUUGAAACAACAUGUCCUAGUAACUAGUACAAAAAAAUACCUAUAAAAGUUCAACUUAACAUAUAUAAUUUUCUAGUUAAUGUGAUAUAAUAGAUUAUUCUUUGACCAAAUGCGCAUGUACCUCUUUUUCGCAGAAUCAGAAAGGAUGACUCAGAAGAAACAGUUCGAUCAUUGACGCUCAUUCAUAGAAAAGGGGUGCAGCUAUAAAUUAGAAUCAUGUAUCUUCUGGUGGUCAUAUCUAAGGCAGAUCAUUGGUAUUUAAUGUGUGCUUGGAUAAUAAUUUCAUAUUUUCCCAUGACAUGGAAUUGCGGAACAACGACAUGAAUAUGUCUAACAACGUAAACUAAAUUUUCGAGCCCUCACAAACACAUUUACCUAUAUUUACUCUGAUAUAGUCCACAUAUGAAAUGUUUGCUAACAUCAAAUAUUUAGGAGACAUAACUGGCACCUCAGACUAUUAUGUAGGAUGAUAAAUAUCGUGAUCAAACAGCAAAGAAGUCCACUUGAUUGGGACACUUCCACAGAAGCCAUGGCAGCAAGGCAGCACUAUUCUGAAAACAAAACUAUACUUGCAGUUACUGCUGAAAACAAAUGUGUGGUAGCAUUAUCCCUACAUUAUUCCAAAUUUAUAAUAUACCAGCCAGUUAAAUAUUUUUUUUGAGGGGUACCAGCCAGUUAAGUGGAUACAAGAUUGUAUGGUGUGAAUUGUUCAAAAUAGCAAAAAUCUCAGUAGCACUGGAUGAACUUAAAUGGCAGUAAUGAAUGAUGACUACUUCAAGAGGUUGCAUUGGAUACGUGAGAGUACCAUGAUUUCUCUUCAAGAUUAUUCAGGUUUCUCUUCAAACAUCACUCUAGCAUAUGAAAGCGUGGCUUGGUUUUAUCAAUAGUUAGAUCGUCACACUGUUAAAUGUAACUAUUUGCCACUUACUAGUUUACAAACUAGCUAUGUUAUUCUAGUAGAUAAGUCCCUCUGUUUGUAUUAUGAGUGCCACACAAUUGCAUCACCUUGACAUGGAUUAAGCAGAUUGGCUGUAGAGUACAUGGAAACAUCCAAUGGCACUACCACAACCACAGUGUAGUUGCUUUAUAUAGACAUGGCAUGAUAUAUGUAGAAGAUAUGCAUGUGAGGGUGAACAAUGGACCACAGUGCUACUAGUACCAGAGUCUACUUGCUUUAUGUCACCAAAAGUCAGAUUCUAUGGAGUGCCUAUAUAUACCGGGCUAUAUGCAACACGGUCAUGGGAAGUUUUCGUCUUUUGGUAAAGUGAUGAUCAUGGGGAGUUGCACUUUGUGUUUAGUUACACAAUUGUGUAAUAUUGAAACCUCGAAGCCACAUCAAAUCAGGUGAUUAUUGUUGGUACAAGACUACAAGUAAUUCAUAAUGUACGUUGGCAUCCAACUUGGCUAUACUGCUAUUUGUUUGACUGUAACUAAUACAAAGCUUACAAGAUCUCCUUGCAACAAUCAACCAGAAAACCCAACGGAAAACACAGAUCAUGGACAAAUUGUGUUGUCAAGUUAACAGACCAGUGGGUAGUGCGUACACAUCAAUGAAUCAAUCACAAACUUGCACAAACUAUACCAGUUAGAUCCAUGGUUGCUGCUCAACCCAAUUGGUGUUUGACCAACAGAGAAACUUGUAAGAGAUGCCUGGCGUGAUCGAGUCUCUAUGUAUCCAAUCGAGACUCAAUUGGGCCUAAAAAACUAAACAAUUGGCUCGAAACCCCAGCGAUGAAAUCCAAUUCGCCAUGCGCGCUCGUGUGGGGUGGGCGUGCCCGCCCUCGGCCUCGCCGGAUCAAUUGGCCACAACGGUACCAAAAUCCUCAUGAAUCGCCCGGGUCGUCUGGCGUCGGCGUGCCACCCACACGCUCACCAGACGCGCACGCGCCCUGUUCGACGGUGUGCGCCCAACCGUGGGACCUUGCCCGGUAGGCGCGCUACGGAGAGAAAUUCGCACGGCUACUGCCGAUUAACCCGCGCAGAUCCAACAAACCGCCCCCCGGAAAAGGGCAUUGGCGAUCGCAGCCCGCGUGGGCGCUGCUCCGAUCCAGGCCCCGACGGCCGCGACGUGCGCGCCGCGGUGCGCGCGUGCAUGCGUACUCGUACAGCGGUACAAGGGAGAAGGUGGCGGGGGACACGCACCUGAAGAAGAAGCUGUUCCGCCGCCGCCGCCGCCUGCCACCGAC